UGGGGAAUAUUGCACAAUGGGCGAAAGCCUGAUGCAGCAACGCCGCGUGAGUGAUGAAGGCCUUCGGGUUGUAAAGCUCUGUCUUCUGGGACGAUAAUGACGGUACCAGAGGAGGAAGCCACGGCUAACUACGUGCCAGCAGCCGCGGUAAUACGUAGGUGGCAAGCGUUGUCCGGAUUUACUGGGCGUAAAGGAUGCGUAGGCGGAUACUUAAGUCAGAUGUGAAAAUCCCGGGCUUAACUUGGGAACUGCAUUUGAAACUGGGUAUGUAGAGUGCGGGUGAGGAAAGUGGAAUUCCUAGUGUAGCGGUGAAGUGCGUAGAGAUUAGGAAGAACACCAGUGGCGAAGGCGACUUUCUGGACCGUAACUGACGCUGA
Molecule: ribosomal RNA, 377 nt
Filed under: uncultured bacterium
Lineage: Bacteria
Description: bacterial SSU rRNA
Rfam family: Bacterial small subunit ribosomal RNA
Source: RNAcentral